CUCAGGAAGCUUUCAAUCACAGGGAAGGUGAAGUGGGAGCAGUUAUGUCACACGGUGAGUGUGAGCAAGAGAGGUGCCAUGCUCUUUUAAACAACAGCUCUUGUGUGAACUAACAGAGUGAGAACUCACACAUUACCAUGGGGACAGCACCAAACCAUUCAUAAGGGUUCCAUCCCAUGACCGAAACACCUCCACGAGGAUCACAUUUCAACACAAGAUUUGGAGGGGACAAAGGUCCAAACUGUAGCACAGUCUCAACCCAGUUAUUUCAAUUAUCUAUUUCUAAUAAGUAAACAAGUCACCCAAUUACCAUGGUGUGAUCAUAGCUCAUUGGAGCCUCAACCUCCUGGGUUCAAGUGAUCUUCCUGCCUCAGCCACUUGAGUAGCUGAGACUACAGGCAUGCGUAACCAUGCUCGGCUAAUUUUUGUAUUUUUUUACAGGUGCAACCACACAUUUUAUUUUUUCUAUAUGUUUUCGAUCCACAAUUGGUUGAACCCACAGAUGCAGAACCCACAGACAUAGAGGGCCAAUUUGUAUAGAGAGGAAGGCAACCAGACCUAAGUGGUUAAGACACCAACUUAAUUUAAAGCAAAGAUCAAAUGGUAUAAUUCAGAUGUUUCUGUAGAUAGUAAACAUCCAGUCAGAUAAUACUACAGGCAUACACUGUUUUAUUGUACUUCAUUGUACUAUACUUCAUAUAUAUUGCAUUUUUUACAAAUCGAAGGUUUGUAGCAAUCCCACACCUAGCAAGUGUAUCAACUCCAUUUUCCCAACAGCAUAUGCUCACUUCAUGUAUUCUGUCGCAUUCUGGUAAUUCUCCCAAUAUUCUGAACUUUUUCUUAACUGUUAUUUGUGUUAUAGCGAUCUCAAUCAGUGAUCUUUGAUGUUACUAUUGUUUUGGAGGCACCAUGAACUAUGCCCAUAUAAUAUAGUGAACUUAAUGGAUACAUGUGUAUGUUCUGACUGCUCCACACAUCUGCUGUUUCCUUUUCUCUCUCCUCAGGCCUUCCUAUUUCGUGAAACAGCAACACUGAAAUUAAACCAAUCACUAGCCGUAUAAUGACCUCUAAGUAUUCAAGUGAAAGGAAGAGUUGUACAUCUCUCACUUUACAUCAAAAGUUAGAAAUGAUUAAGCUUAUUGAGGACAGCAUGUUGACAGCUGAGGCAAACUAAAAGCUAGGCCUCUUGUGCCAAACAGCCAAGUUGCGAAUGCAAAGAAAAAGUUCUUAAAAGAAACUAAAAGUACUACUCCAGUGAACACAGGAAUAAGAAAGCAAAACAGCUUUACAGCAGAUAUGGAGUAAGUUUAAAUGGUCUGGAUAAAAGAUCAAACCAGUUACAACAUUCCCUUAAGCCAAAGCCUAAUCCAGAGCGGGCCCUAACUCUCUUCGAUUCUACGAAGGCUGAGAGAAACCGCAGAGGGAAACUGCAGUGGGAAACUGCAGUGGGAAGGUAGCAGAGGUUGGCUCAUGAGGUUUAAGGAAAGAAGCCAUCUCCAUAACAUAAAAGUGCAAGAUGAAGCUGUAAGUUAUCCAGAAGAUCUAGAUAAGAUGGAUGCACUAAACACUAAACAACAGAUUUUCAGUGUACAUAAAAUAGCCUUAUAUUCAAAGAAGAUGCCAUCUAGGAUUUUCAUAGCUGUAGAACGGGAAUCAAUGCCUGGCUUCCAAGCUUCAAAGGACAGGCUAUCUUGUUAGGGGUACUGCAGCUGGUGACUUAAAGUUGAAGCCAAUGCUCAUUUACAAUUCCAAAAAUCCUAGGGUCCUUAAGAAUUUUGCUAAAUGUACUCUGCCUGUGCUCUAUAGACUCUAUAGAUAGAAAAACUAUGCCUGGAUGACAGCACAUCUUUUAAAAUCAUGGUUUACUGAAGACGUUAAGUCCACCAUUCAGUAAAAGAUUUCUUUUGAAAUGCUACUGAUCAUUAACAAUGUACCUGGUCACCCAAGAACUCCAAUGGAGAUGUACAAGGAGUUGAAUUUUUUUAAUGCCUGCUAACACAUCCAUUCCAUAGCCCAUGGAUCAAGGAAUAGUUUUGACUUUCAAGUCUUAUUAUGCAAGAAUAUUUUUUGCAAGGCUAUAGCUGUCACAGUGAUUCCUCUGAUGGAUUUGGGCAAAGUAAACUGGAAACCUUCUGGAAAGGAUUCACCAUUUAAGAUGUCAUUAAGAACAUUGAUGAUUUAUGAGGGGGGUCAAAAUACCAAUAUUAACAGGAGUUUGGGAGAAGUUGAUUCCAACCCUCAUUAAUAAUUUUGAGGUGUUUAAGACUUCACUGGAGGAAAUAACUGAAUAUGUGGUAGAAAUAGGAAGAGAACUAGAAUUAGAAGUGGAACCUAAAGAUGUGACUGAAUUGCUGCAAUCUCACGAAAAAACUUGAACAGAUGAGGAGUUACUUCUUAUGCAUAAGCAAAAAUGAGGUUUCUCAAGUAAAAGCUACUCAUGGUGAAGACGCUAUGAACACUGUUGAAAUGAUAACAAAGGACUUAGAAUGCUACCUUCUUAGUUGAUAAGGCAGUGGCAGGGUUUGAGAGGACUUGAUCCCAAAUUUCAAAGUUUUACAGAGAAUAAAAUGCUAUCAAGUAGCAUCACAUGCUACACAGAAAUCUUUGGUGAAAGGAAGAGCCAAUUAAUGUAGCACACUUCACUGCUAUCUAUUAGGAGAAACUGCCA
This 2668-nucleotide long non-coding RNA is filed under the name Homo sapiens (human). RNAcentral describes it as "HSALNT0080304". The record is from RNAcentral. Lineage: Eukaryota; Metazoa; Chordata; Mammalia; Primates; Hominidae.